GACGAACGCUGGCGGCGUGCUUAACACAUGCAAGUCGAACGGAAAGGCCCUGCUUUUGUGGGGUGCUCGAGUGGCGAACGGGUGAGUAACACGUGAGUAACCUGCCCUUGACUUUGGGAUAACUUCAGGAAACUGGGGCUAAUCCCGGAUAGGAGCUCCUGCUGCAUGGUGGGGGUUGGAAAGUUUCGGCGGUUGGGGAUGGACUCGCGGCUUAUCAGCGUGUUGGUGGGGUAGUGGCGUACCAAGGCUUUGACGGGUGGCCGGCCUGAGAGGGUGACCGGCACCAUUGGGACUGAGAUACGGCCCAGACGCCUACGGGAGGCAGCAGUGGGGAAUAUUGCACAAUGGGCGGAAGCCUGAUGCAGCAACGCCGCGUGCGGGAUGACGGCCUUCGGGUUGUAAACCGCUUUCGCCUGUGACGAAGCUUGAGUGACGGUAAUGGGUAAAGAAGCACCGGCUAACUACGUG
This 468-nucleotide ribosomal RNA is filed under the name uncultured bacterium. RNAcentral's name for it is "partial 16S ribosomal RNA". It matches the Rfam family "Bacterial small subunit ribosomal RNA", at positions 28 to 507 of the family's 1533-position model. The record is from RNAcentral.